RNAcentral lists this ribosomal RNA (20 nucleotides) under Silene sedoides. RNAcentral's name for it is "partial 28S ribosomal RNA". Lineage: Eukaryota; Viridiplantae; Streptophyta; Magnoliopsida; Caryophyllales; Caryophyllaceae. The record is from RNAcentral.
CCCAGGUCAGGCGGGGCUAC